UCCAGGGCUGCUAAGGAAAAGAACAAGGCCAAGCAAGCUGCAAAGAAAUCAGUUACUGCACCAACAAAGUCACAGUCAAAACAACAGAAGCUGCAGAAAACGGCGAAGCAGCAGUCUAAAUCUGCAGCUCCUCGUGUUGGUGGAAAACGCUAAACAGAUUUAUGUUGUAAUAUAUGUUGAGAUGCUUGAUUAAAGCUUUGUGGAAAAAAACUCUAAAAA
Molecule: long non-coding RNA, 219 nt
Organism: Saccoglossus kowalevskii
Lineage: Eukaryota; Metazoa; Hemichordata; Enteropneusta; Harrimaniidae
Source: RefSeq, a predicted model, not a curated record